ACUCGUCCGCCGAAUGACCAAGGGUUCCUGGGCCAGGUUAAUCCGCCCAGGGUGAGUCGGGACCUAAGACGAGGCCGACAGGCGUAGCCGAUGGACAACGGGUUGAUAUUCCCGUACCCGUGUGAACGCGCCCAUGGUGAAUCAGUGAUACUAACCACCCUGAAUCCCGCUUAUUCUUGUGCCUUCGGGUACCUGAAGGGUGGGUGGAUGCGUGGGACCUGAUCUGGUAGUAGCCAAGCGAUGGGGUGACGCAGGAAGGUAGCUGGGCCAGUCAGUGGUAGUACUGGUGUAAGCCUGUAGGGCGAACGGUAGGCAAAUCCGCCGUUCAUGAUGCCUGAGAGGUGAUGCGUAGCCGAUUGAGGCGAAUUCAGUGAUCCUAUGCUGCCGAGAAAAGCCUCUAGCGAGCUUUCACACGGCCCGUACCCCAAACCGACACAGGUGGUCAGGUAGAGAAUACUAAGGCGAUCGAGAUAACUAUGGUUAAGGAACUCGGCAAAAUGCCCCCGUAACUUCGGGAGAAGGGGGACCUUGUUCGGUGAUCAC
Molecule: non-coding RNA, 543 nt
Filed under: Rhodococcus sp. EPR-157
Lineage: Bacteria; Bacillati; Actinomycetota; Actinomycetes; Mycobacteriales; Nocardiaceae
Description: Bacterial large subunit ribosomal RNA
Rfam family: Bacterial large subunit ribosomal RNA
Source: Rfam by way of RNAcentral